GAUGAACGCUGGCGGCGUGCCUAAUACAUGCAAGUCGAGCGAACGGACGAGAAGCUUGCUUCUCUGAUGUUAGCGGCGGGCGGGUGAGUAACACGUGGAUCACCUACCUAUAAGACUGGGAUAACUUCGGGAAACCGGAGCUAAUACCGGAUAAUAUUUUGAACCGCAUGGUUCAAAAGUGAAAGACGGUCUUGCUGGCACUUAUAGCUGGAUCCGCGCUGCAUUAGCUAGUUGGUAAGGUAACGGCUUACCAAGGCAACGAUGCAUAGCCGACGUGAGAGGCGGGUCGCCGACCCGGGAGCGUGGACACCGUCCAUACUCCUGCGGUACGCAGCAGUAUGCAACGUGCCGCAGCGGUCGAAAGCCUGACGGAGCAGGCCGGCGUCAGAUGCGAAGGCGCUCGGUGCGUAAAACCGUGUUACGAGUUGAGAACAGAUUUGGAAGGAACUGUGCAGAGCUUGACGGUAACGAGUCAGAAAGCCACGGCUAACUACGUG
RNAcentral lists this ribosomal RNA (497 nucleotides) under uncultured bacterium. RNAcentral describes it as "partial 16S ribosomal RNA". It matches the Rfam family "Bacterial small subunit ribosomal RNA", at positions 28 to 507 of the family's 1533-position model. The record is from RNAcentral.